UACGAAGGGGGCUAGCGUUGCUCGGAAUCACUGGGCGUAAAGGGCGCGUAGGCGGCCAUUCAAGUCGGGGGUGAAAGCCUGUGGCUCAACCACAGAAUUGCCUUCGAUACUGUUUGGCUUGAGUUUGGUAGAGGUUGGUGGAACUGCGAGUGUAGAGGUGAAAUUCGUAGAUAUUCGCAAGAACACCAGUGGCGAAGGCGGCCAACUGGACCAACACUGACGCUGAGGCGCGAAAGCUAGGGGAGCAAACGGG
This 253-nucleotide ribosomal RNA is filed under the name uncultured bacterium. Its description in RNAcentral is "partial 16S ribosomal RNA". It matches the Rfam family "Bacterial small subunit ribosomal RNA", at positions 524 to 776 of the family's 1533-position model. The record is from RNAcentral.